GGUAGUUUAACCUUUCGGGGAGGACGCUCACCACUUUGUGGUUCAUGACUGGGGUGAAGUCGUAACAAGGUAGCCCUAGGGGAACCUGGGGCUGGAUCACCUCCUUAUACGAAGAUAC
RNAcentral lists this ribosomal RNA (118 nucleotides) under Vibrio splendidus. RNAcentral's name for it is "partial 16S ribosomal RNA". It matches the Rfam family "Bacterial small subunit ribosomal RNA", at positions 1429 to 1533 of the family's 1533-position model. Lineage: Bacteria; Pseudomonadati; Pseudomonadota; Gammaproteobacteria; Vibrionales; Vibrionaceae. The record is from RNAcentral.